This 253-nucleotide ribosomal RNA is filed under the name uncultured bacterium. RNAcentral's name for it is "partial 16S ribosomal RNA". It matches the Rfam family "Bacterial small subunit ribosomal RNA", at positions 524 to 776 of the family's 1533-position model. The record is from RNAcentral.
UACGUAGGCAGCGAGCGUUGUUCGGGGUUACUGGGCGUAAAGAGUGCGUAGGCGGUUUUCUAAGUUUGGUGUGAAAUCUCCCGGCUUAACUGGGAGGGUGCGCCGAAGACUGGAAGGCUAGAGUAUGGGAGAGGUAAGCGGAAUUCCUGGUGUAGCGGUGAAAUGCGUAGAUAUCAGGAGGAACACCUGCGGUGUAGACGGCUUACUGGACCAUAACUGACGCUGAGGCACGAAAGCGUGGGUAGCAAACAGG